This 530-nucleotide ribosomal RNA is filed under the name uncultured bacterium. RNAcentral's name for it is "bacterial SSU rRNA". It matches the Rfam family "Bacterial small subunit ribosomal RNA", at positions 776 to 1302 of the family's 1533-position model. The record is from RNAcentral.
AAAUAGAUACCCCGGUAGUCCACGCCGUAAACGAUGAGUGCUAAGUGUUGGAGGGUUUCCGCCUUUCAGUGCUGCAGCUAACGCAUUAAGCACUCCGCCUGGGGAGUACGGUCGCAAGACUGAAACUCAAAGGAAUUGACGGGGGCCCGCACAAGCGGUGGAGCAUGUGGUUUAAUUCGAAGCAACGCGAAGAACCUUACCAGGUCUUGACAUCUCCUGACCGCCCUGGAGACAGGGUCUUCCCUUCGGGGACAGGAUGACAGGUGGUGCAUGGUUGUCGUCAGCUCGUGUCGUGAGAUGUUGGGUUAAGUCCCGCAACGAGCGCAACCCUUGGUUCUAGUUGCCAGCAUUCAGUUGGGCACUCUAGAGCGACUGCCGGCGACAAGUCGGAGGAAGGUGGGGAUGACGUCAAAUCAUCAUGCCCCUUAGUGACCUGGGCUACACACGUGCUACAAUGGAUGGUACAAAGGGCAGCGAAGCGGCGACGCAUAAGCGAAAUCCCAGAAAACCAUUCGUCAGUUCGGAUUGCG